AAGUCCUUCCGCCGCCGGCGCUAACACAAUAGUGAGCGCCGCGCUGCGGCCAGUCGGCUCCCACUGCUGCUUCUGUUCUGAGGAGCGUGUCGUGUCGGACUUGCACACCUGAGGCCUGCCUUUGGAAUUUCCGUCAGCGGGAAGAGACCGCGGAUGUCAGAAUUGUGUUUUGUUCGGCGAUUAUUGUCCAGCCCCAAAUUCCUUCCUACCAGGAGCUGCUUGUGUGGAAGGUUUUCAGACUUUUUUCCCUGACGAUGAAAGAUUUCAUAUAGUUUCUCGUAAACUUGCCUUCGAUGCCCUUCAUAAUUUUGGUUGAGAGGAUGACUUUAAAAAAGUAAAUGCUGUUCAAAAAUGGAUAAAGAUAAUUACACAAGCAAGUAUACUUGCUAUGCAGCAAGUGUUACCUGUCUGACUCCCCUGAUUCAACUACGAGCUCCUUGAGGGUAGGAGGACAUUACUGUUCUUUAUACCCCUAUUCCUGGAAAUACAUCUGGACCACAGAUCUCCCUUUAUACAAAUAAAAUUUUAAAUGGA
Molecule: long non-coding RNA, 534 nt
Organism: Camelus dromedarius (Arabian camel)
Lineage: Eukaryota; Metazoa; Chordata; Mammalia; Artiodactyla; Camelidae
Exons: 4
Source: RefSeq, a predicted model, not a curated record